This 447-nucleotide ribosomal RNA is filed under the name uncultured bacterium. RNAcentral's name for it is "bacterial SSU rRNA". It matches the Rfam family "Bacterial small subunit ribosomal RNA", at positions 339 to 796 of the family's 1533-position model. The record is from RNAcentral.
CUACGGGAGGCAGCAGUCGAGGAUCUUCGUCAAUGGGCGAAAGCCUGAACGAGCGACGCCGCGUGCGGGAUGAAGGCCCUUGGGUUGUAAACCGCUGUCAGGGGGGAUGAAACCGUAAGGUUGACAGAGCCCCAGAGGAAGCACGGGCUAAGUUCGUGCCAGCAGCCGCGGUAAUACGAACUGUGCGAACGUUACUCGGAAUCACUGGGCUUACAGGGUGCGUAGGUGGCUUGUUAAGCAGGGUGUGAAAUCCCUCGGCUCAACCGAGGAACUGCGCUCUGAACUGGCGAGCUAGAGUAUGCUAGAGGUGAAUGGAACAUCCAGUGGAGCGGUGAAAUGUGUUGAUAUUGGAUGGAACACCAGAGGCGAAGGCGAUUCACUGGGGCAUAACUGACACUGAGGCACGAAAGCCAGGGGAGCAAACGGGAUUAGAUACCCGUGUAGUCC